This 495-nucleotide ribosomal RNA is filed under the name uncultured Nocardiopsis sp. RNAcentral's name for it is "partial 16S ribosomal RNA". Lineage: Bacteria; Bacillati; Actinomycetota; Actinomycetes; Streptosporangiales; Nocardiopsidaceae. The record is from RNAcentral.
CACGUAGUUAGCCGGUCCUUAUUCCCCACCUACCGUCAACCCCACGAGAACGUGGAGCCUGCGUUGGUGGUAAAAGAGGUUUACAACCCGAAGGCCGUCAUCCCCACGCGGCGUCGCUGCAUCAGGCUUUCGCCCAUUGUGCAAUAUUCCCCACUGCUGCCUCCCGCAGGAGUCUGGGCCGUGUCUCAGUCCCAGUGUGGCCGGUCGCCCUCUCAGGCCGGCUACCCGUAAUCGCCUUGGUAGGCCGUUACCCCACCAACAAGCUGAUAGGCCGCGAGCCCAUCCCUGACCGAUAAAACCUUUCCACCCUCCACCAUGAGGUGGCGGGUCGUAUCCGGUAUUAGACGGCGUUUCCACCGCUUAUCCCGGAGUCAGGGGCAGGUUGCUCACGUGUUACUCACCCGUUCGCCGCUCGUGUACCCCCGAAGGGCCUUACCGCUCGACUUGCAUGUGUUAAGCACGCCGCCAGCGUGUCCUGAGCCACGGAUCAACUAC